GUCUAACAAAUUACAUUUGCAUUAUGGGAAAUAUAGGGUCCAAAGUUUUUGGAUCUUGACCCAUACAAAGGACAAACAUAUCUGGAUAU
This is a long non-coding RNA of Etheostoma spectabile (orangethroat darter), 89 nucleotides long. RefSeq lists it as uncharacterized. NCBI's taxonomy places the organism in Eukaryota, Metazoa, Chordata, Actinopteri, Perciformes, Percidae. The transcript is spliced from 4 exons. The record is from RefSeq and is a predicted model, not a curated record.